UGGUAACAGUGGAGAUUAGAGUCCAGAGCACACAGCUGGGGAGACAGACCCAAGAAGGAACCUGACAUGGUGACCCAGACAGAGCCAGGAGAGAAGCCAUGAGCUUGGCUCACACAGAUUCUGACUGUGAGAAGAGGAAAGAGAUGGAAGGCAACUUUAAGAACAGGAAACAAACUCACACAUCCAGAGGAAGUGCAUAGGUCGGGGCAACGAAGAGCCUGAAAUCACAUAGAUGGCAAGACAAGAGUCGAUCCUAACAAAACCAAGGAAUAUGGCCAUGAUGGAAUGACAAAAGUCCAGAUAUAUUCUCCCAUCAUAAACAAAAAGAAAACUGGGCAAAAAUGACAUAACAAUUGUUUUCAGAUGUUGGACAACAGAUAGUGCAAUACUUUGAUUCCUAAGAAAAGGGGGAAAAGUGAGGUAAGCCCUUGGCCUUCUGCCUGGGAUCUCAUUCUGUACCCCAUGGCAGGUUGAGGAAUCCUCAGCAGAGCUCAGCAGUCUCACUAAGUUGAGGACAGAGAUUUAGUUCAGGGAGGCUGAAGUGACUCAAAAUUGUGGAGCAGAGUUUCAGAGAGGAGAGCUGCAUAGAAAAAACACUUCAGAGUCUUUACUGAAUAUUAGGUCAUGCAUGCCUAGGGCAAAACUCCAUGAGGCCAGGCAAUGAAUGGGGAGCUGGAGACUGAAUAAUCCCCAAAAAUCACAGCAGUGAGAGACAUGUAAACUCCAACCAGCAGGAGCGGAACGUCCUCACGGAUCACCUGGACCUUCAGUAGAGACCACAGAAGUGUCAUAACUUGGUGGUGGGAUUAUCCCUAGAGUCAUUGCUUCUCUAGACUUGCCCUAAAAAUCUUCAAAACAAGCCUUGGGAGGAUCAAACCGAUCAACAAGU
This 889-nucleotide long non-coding RNA is filed under the name Pan troglodytes (chimpanzee). RNAcentral's name for it is "long non-coding RNA NONPTRT001062". Lineage: Eukaryota; Metazoa; Chordata; Mammalia; Primates; Hominidae. The record is from RNAcentral.